AUAAUUUUAGGAAAAAACUUUAAAUAUCGCUUAUAUGGUUUCGUAUUUUCUCACUUUAGUAUUUUCUGAUUUAAAAUGUAUCACUUUCGUAUCCUAUAGUUUUAUUUUUUUUAUUAUUAUCUUUUUUUACUAUUUUUUAUUAAAUCAGUAAAAAAAUUAAAACUAAAGAAUACUAAAUUAAAUAUUCAACAAUGUAGAUAGAGUAUCUGUUUUGUAUAUGAUUUAACGAAAAAUUAAUAAAGAGUCUGACGAAAAAAAAAAAAACCACAGGAUAAUAAAUUAAUACACUUUAAACAACAAGAUACCAAAAUGAAAAAAUACGAAAUUACAGGAGUGGUAUUUGAAGUUUGCCUAUAAUUUUACAAAGCAACAAACAUUUAAAGAAUAUUCCAAUUUUCUAAAUACAAUUUACAAUGCCAU
RNAcentral lists this long non-coding RNA (420 nucleotides) under Ananas comosus (pineapple). RNAcentral describes it as "long non-coding RNA (ACOM_LNC042693)". The record is from RNAcentral. Lineage: Eukaryota; Viridiplantae; Streptophyta; Magnoliopsida; Poales; Bromeliaceae.